Molecule: long non-coding RNA, 406 nt
Filed under: Suricata suricatta (meerkat)
Lineage: Eukaryota; Metazoa; Chordata; Mammalia; Carnivora; Herpestidae
Description: lncRNA (ENSSSUG00005003728.1)
Source: RNAcentral
UGCACGUGGAACAGAAGCCUUUGGACCGGCCCUGAGGAGCACUGGAUGAAGUCACCAGCAUGUAGACGGACAGCAGGGGAGAGAGACAGAGACCAAGCAGGUGCGCAAGUGAUAGAGACGGAGCCGAGCAUCUUCCGAGGGGCACACAGACUUCUGAGCAGACAGAUGUCUCCACAGGACAAAUGUGAAAUAAUCUACCGUAUCAGAGGGAACGGUAACCUGUGGCCGGAUAGAAGCCGAUCUUUGGAACAAGUUUGGUCCAUCAGACACUAAGAUUUGGCCGCCCAUCUGUGGCUUGCUAAUUGAACCCGCAGCUUCAGGACACGUGUCCUUCCCAUUUCGUCUGGACUGGGAUGAAACAUUCACAACAUAAAAUUUACCAUCUGAACUGCUUUAAGUGCACAGC